RNAcentral lists this ribosomal RNA (468 nucleotides) under uncultured bacterium. RNAcentral describes it as "partial 16S ribosomal RNA". It matches the Rfam family "Bacterial small subunit ribosomal RNA", at positions 28 to 507 of the family's 1533-position model. The record is from RNAcentral.
GACGAACGCUGGCGGCGUGCUUAACACAUGCAAGUCGAACGGAAAGGCCCUGCUUUUGUUGGUUGCUCGAGUGGCGAACGGGUGUGUAACACGUGAGUAACCUGCCCUUGACUGUGGGAUAACUUCAGGAAACUGGGGCUAAUACCGGAUAGGAGCUCCUGCUGCAUGGUGGGGGUUGGAAAGUUUCGGCGGUUGGGGAUGGACUCGCGGCUUAUCAGCUUGUUUGUGGGGUAGUGGCUUACCAAGGCUUUGACGGGUAGCCGGCCUGGGAGGGUGACCGGCCACAUUGGGACUGAGAUACGGCCCAGACUCGUACGGGAGGCAGCAGUGGGGAAUAUUGCACAAUGGGGGGAAGCCUGAUGCAGCAACGCCGCGUGCGGGAUGACGGCCUUCGGGUGGUAAACCGCUUUGGCCUGUGACGAAGCGUGAGUGACGGUAAUGGGUAAAGAAGCACCGGCUAACUACGUG